AGCUCCAAUAGCGUAUAUUAAAGUUGUUGCAGUUAAAAAGCUCGUAGUUGGAUUUUUGUCAUUCGCUUGCUUGCUGCCUUAAAUGUCAGCAUAGUGUAGCAGUGACAUUUCCCUUGUAGAGUGACUUGUCAGUCUAUAAAGGGCAUUUACUUUGAGUAAAUUAGAGUGUUUCAAGCAAGCAAAAGCUAUGAAUACUGCAGCAUGGAAUAAUAAUAUAGGACGUUGGUUCUAUGUUGUUGGUUCUGAGAGCCGAUGUAAUGAUUAAUAGGAACAGUUGGGGGCAUUCGUAUUCAACAGCUAGAGGUGAAAUUCUUAGAUUUGUUGAAGACGAACUACAGCGAAAGCAUUUGCCAAGGAUGUUUUCA
RNAcentral lists this ribosomal RNA (365 nucleotides) under uncultured eukaryote. RNAcentral's name for it is "SSU rRNA". It matches the Rfam family "Eukaryotic small subunit ribosomal RNA", at positions 587 to 972 of the family's 1831-position model. The record is from RNAcentral.